UAGGGAAUCUUCGGCAAUGGACGAAAGUCUGACCGAGCAACGCCGCGUGAGUGAAGAAGGUUUUCGGAUCGUAAAACUCUGUUGUUAGAGAAGAACAAGGACGUUAGUAACUGAACGUCCCCUGACGGUAUCUAACCAGAAAGCCACGGCUAACUACGUGCCAGCAGCCGCGGUAAUACGUAGGUGGCAAGCGUUGUCCGGAUUUAUUGGGCGUAAAGCGAGCGCAGGCGGUUUCUUAAGUCUGAUGUGAAAGCGCCCGGCACAACCGGGGAGGGUCAUUGGAAACUGGGAGACUUGAGUGCAGAAGAGGAGAGUGGAAUUCCAUGUGUGGCGGUGAAAUGCGUAGAUAUAUGGAGGAACACCGGUGGAGAAGGGGGCUCUCUGGUCUGUAACUGACGCUGAGGCUCGAAAGCGGGGGGAGCAAACAGG
This 429-nucleotide ribosomal RNA is filed under the name Gemmatimonadota bacterium. RNAcentral describes it as "Gemmatimonadetes bacterium partial 16S ribosomal RNA". It matches the Rfam family "Bacterial small subunit ribosomal RNA", at positions 355 to 776 of the family's 1533-position model. The record is from RNAcentral. Lineage: Bacteria; Pseudomonadati; Gemmatimonadota.